This is a long non-coding RNA of Thalassophryne amazonica, 221 nucleotides long. RefSeq lists it as uncharacterized. The transcript has 4 exons. Lineage: Eukaryota; Metazoa; Chordata; Actinopteri; Batrachoidiformes; Batrachoididae. The record is from RefSeq and is a predicted model, not a curated record.
AUGGAAAUAACUGUUUUCACUUUCUUGUGUCAUACAUGUAUUUUAACGUAUUUACAGUUAUAUUAUGUACUUAUAUUGAACUUGCACAAUAAAAUCACUCACCACACUCACGCUUUUAAUAGAAAGAUGACUUACCGCCCCCCUGCUGGUAUGGCGUGUGAGUCAAGUAGUUAGCAACAUCCAUUGUUCACUGUUGUAAGCAGGUUUCUUCAAAAAUAUUA